Molecule: long non-coding RNA, 272 nt
Organism: Cydia splendana
Lineage: Eukaryota; Metazoa; Arthropoda; Insecta; Lepidoptera; Tortricidae
Exons: 3
Source: RefSeq, a predicted model, not a curated record
AACUUAUUUUAUCAGAACUGCUUCUUAUUGUGAAGAUCAGACAAGAAAGUGAAGAUAAUAGUUACCGUUUUUGUGUAGAUCGCAUCUCUCCCCAGCGUUUCUGAUAGUUUUGUGAUUUGCUCUGACAUUUUCUAGCGCAGCCCUGACUGCAGGUACUUGACGUCCUGUGAGAUGAAGCAGGACAGCUGCAGGAACGUCUCGCGCGCCUUGGUGGGAGUCUCCUCGGCCUCCGAGCACACUAGCUCCACGUCCAGAGUGCCGCCGAAGUACUG